UCAGGGACUGUGUCUGUAAACACGAUGUUUAACUAAGAAAACUUACGUACUUCUUUAUGUUCUGUAAUCUGGAAGAACUUAAGAAGCACUCAAAUGAUAUGGAAUUUCAAAUACAUAUCACAAUAAUUACAUUUUUUCUCAUAAAAUAUUUAAUACAAAUAUAUUUCACUGGUCAUGUGAUAAGUGUCCACCAAUGAGAGAGUAGUAUUCUAACGGCCUCGCAUGAAACGUACUCUUGAUAUGAGUAGCCAUUGUUGCCCUAAAGGGGACUGUUUUAUAAAGAAAAUCUGUUUUAAUUAUGGAAGCGGAAGGCCAUCCUACCAUGUUGGGAAGUAAAAAGUCUACACGAAACGUCUCAAAAGGGUACUAUAACGUUAUUUUCAAAUUAUAUUAACUCAUAAAGUAUGUUUGCGCCGAUUAUAGAAUGGCUGUACGAUUUCAAGGACAGGUAUCUCGGUUUCAACUUUUACUACCGGAGAUGCCGUACUGAUAUAAAUGUAGAAAUAGAAGGAUUUGUGCAGGAUAAGGUUUAAGAAAUAAAAAUGUAGGUGAAUAUUUGAUGAGAGCAGCAGUUAUUCUAAUUAUAAUGAAAGGAACUUUUAGGUUGAUCCUGUUGUGUUCCCCCCUGAAGUUUUGUCACUCAUAGCUUUUGAAAUUUCAAAGUUACAACUGAUGUACAUUUAUAAAUUACUAAGACUUAAAUGAAUACUAAUUUGUGAAAUGAGGUAAGUUAAAUAACGGUCUUUUAAACUUAAUAUAAAGGCUAUUUGUUGAAAUAUGUAGUUUUUCAGUAGAUUUGAUAAGUAAUUUUUUUGUACAUAACUAAAAGUAUGUGAAAAGCUUUUAUGUAAGAAAUCAACACAAAAUAUAAAUAUGUGAACAAUAAUUGUAUUAACUCUUUGCUUUCAAAUAAAUCUCUCUUUUUUAAUCAAGCUUGUGGAGAAUGUUUAUUUGCAUUUUUUUUGAGAGGAAUACACAAUACAAAUUUUUUAAUGUUUAUUUGCUAAUGAGUAGCAAUUAUUGCUAUUGAUGCAUAGAAAUUUGUAUCAUUAUUAUCAUCGUAUUCCAAAUUUGACAAAUCAUGGAGGCACACAGUGAAUAUUUCUACAUACAUCAGGAAUUGAUUAUGUUAACCAUCAAGUAUCAACAUUUCUGUAUAAAAUUUAUUUUGUAUUAAAA
Molecule: long non-coding RNA, 1179 nt
Organism: Stegodyphus dumicola
Lineage: Eukaryota; Metazoa; Arthropoda; Arachnida; Araneae; Eresidae
Source: RefSeq, a predicted model, not a curated record